This is a long non-coding RNA of Saccostrea echinata, 249 nucleotides long. RefSeq lists it as uncharacterized. Lineage: Eukaryota; Metazoa; Mollusca; Bivalvia; Ostreida; Ostreidae. The transcript has 3 exons. The record is from RefSeq and is a predicted model, not a curated record.
GUCAAAACAUGGCCGACCCAAAAUAAUUCCUGAGUUUUUCCCUUGAUUGCAGGACUUUAGCAGAGAGGAUAGAGUGAUGAGGCCAAACACAUGGCUUUCAAGCACCUAAUUGACUUUGAUGUAAACAAACUUGAACGCCUUGCUGGAUGGUUGACGGGUCACAUGUGUGUUUGACGGCAAUGGAGCUCCAAGGGCAGCACACUUCAUGGAAGUGGUCCAUGAUUCAUCCUGUGUAUGGCGGAGUAGAUC